GCCGAACCGUCCAAACGUUAUUCGGAAUCACUGGGCUUAAAGGGUGCGUAGGCUGCGCGGAAAGUUGGGUGUGAAAUCCCUCGGCUCAACCGAGGAACUGCGCCCAAUACUGCCGUGCUUGAGGAAGAUAGAGGUGAGCGGAACUUAGGGUGGAGCGGUGAAAUGCGUUGAUAUCCUAAGGAACACCGGUGGCGAAAGCGGCUCACUGGAUCUUUUCUGACGCUGAGGCACGAAAGCUAGGGUAGAGAACGGG
RNAcentral lists this ribosomal RNA (253 nucleotides) under uncultured bacterium. RNAcentral describes it as "partial 16S ribosomal RNA". It matches the Rfam family "Bacterial small subunit ribosomal RNA", at positions 524 to 776 of the family's 1533-position model. The record is from RNAcentral.